GCGGAAGUGACGUCACGGAAAGCGGCUGGCCGGGCGGAAGUGAAGGCGGCGGGAAAAGCGGAGUUUCUCCCCAUUCUGGGAUUUUUUGCCGCCUCUCGUCGGGAAUUUUGGAUCCUGGAAUAUUUUGGGGAAUUUUUGGAAUUUCUCCCC
Lonchura striata (white-rumped munia) is the source of this 150-nucleotide non-coding RNA. NCBI's taxonomy places the organism in Eukaryota, Metazoa, Chordata, Aves, Passeriformes, Estrildidae. The record is from RefSeq and is a predicted model, not a curated record.